Molecule: microRNA precursor, 74 nt
Organism: Cercocebus atys (sooty mangabey)
Lineage: Eukaryota; Metazoa; Chordata; Mammalia; Primates; Cercopithecidae
Source: Ensembl
AAACUUUGAUUCUCUCUGGAUCCCAUGGAUAUAGGAACUGUGAGGUCUAGGAGAUCCAGAGAGAAUCAGAGUUU